UUUUAUUGAGAGUUUGAUCCUGGCUCAGGACGAACGCUGGCGGCGUGCCUAACACAUGCAAGUCGAGCGAUGAAGCUUUUUCGGAAGCGGAUUAGCGGCGGACGGGUGAGUAACACGUGGGCAACCUGCCUCAUAGAGAGGGAUAGCCUUUCGAAAGGAAGAUUAAUACCUCAUAAGAUUGUAGUUUCGCAUGAAACGGCAAUAAAAGGAGCAAUCCGCUAUGAGAUGGGCCCGCGUCGCAUUAGCUAGUUGGUAAGGUAAUGGCUUACCAAGGCGACGAUGCGUAGCCGACCUGAGAGGGUGAUCGGCCACAUUGGGACUGAGACACGGCCCAGACUC
RNAcentral lists this ribosomal RNA (339 nucleotides) under Clostridium botulinum. Its description in RNAcentral is "bacterial SSU rRNA". It matches the Rfam family "Bacterial small subunit ribosomal RNA", at positions 1 to 338 of the family's 1533-position model. Lineage: Bacteria; Bacillati; Bacillota; Clostridia; Eubacteriales; Clostridiaceae. The record is from RNAcentral.